UUUUUUUCCUAUUUCCACCAUGCUUUCUUCAUGGCAUCUUCUUGCCUUCCAUCAUAUAAUUGCCUUUACUUUGAAAUGACUCUUCCUGACGGGCCUCCUUUUCUCCGGCCUUCCUAGCCUGGAAUCUGUUUAUUUUUCUGUGGCACUCGGUCCUUUCUAUGCCAUGUGCCACACACCAGAACGCAGAUGCUAGUGGCUUCCUUAAAGAGAAGUUGCAAAGUGCCUUCCUUGACCAAGAGACUCGUAGGAGACAACAAUUGAGUACAUGGGUCCAAGGCAUGUCUCAUUCUGAGAAACUUCCGGCCUUGUACUUGGGGUAGGUUUCCUACGGUGCCAUCCUUGGAACAUAGCUACUUCUCUUUGCCUUUUUUUUUUUUUUUUUUUCACCUUUUCCAUAAAGAAGAUGUCACUUUUUGGACGCAUUUUGGGCAGGUUGAAUCUGAUGGAUUCCCAACCUAGGCCAAAUACCUUAACCAGUACUCAACCCAU
Molecule: long non-coding RNA, 489 nt
Filed under: Elaeis guineensis (African oil palm)
Lineage: Eukaryota; Viridiplantae; Streptophyta; Magnoliopsida; Arecales; Arecaceae
Description: long non-coding RNA (EGUI_LNC006104)
Source: RNAcentral